This 486-nucleotide ribosomal RNA is filed under the name uncultured bacterium. RNAcentral describes it as "partial 16S ribosomal RNA". It matches the Rfam family "Bacterial small subunit ribosomal RNA", at positions 30 to 507 of the family's 1533-position model. The record is from RNAcentral.
AUUGAACGCUGGCGGCAUGCCUUACACAUGCAAGUCGAACGGCAGCACGGGUGCUUGCACCUGGUGGCGAGUGGCGAACGGGUGAGUAAUACAUCGGAACAUGUCCUGUAGUGGGGGAUAGCCCGGCGAAAGCCGGAUUAAUACCGCAUACGAUCUACGGAUGAAAGCGGGGGACCGUCGGGCCUCGCGCUAUAGGGUUGGCCGAUGGCUGAUUAGCUAGUUGGUGGGGUAAAGGCCUACCAAGGCGACGAUCAGUAGCUGGUCUGAGAGGACGACCAGCCACACUGGGACUGAGACACGGCCCAGACUCCUACGGGAGGCAGCAGUGGGGAAUUUUGGACAAUGGGCGAAAGCCUGAUCCAGCAAUGCCGCGUGUGUGAAGAAGGCCUUCGGGUUGUAAAGCACUUUUGUCCGGAAAGAAAUCCUUGGCCCUAAUACGGUCGGAGGAUGACGGUACCGGAAGAAUAAGCACCGGCUAACUACGUG